This 450-nucleotide ribosomal RNA is filed under the name uncultured bacterium. RNAcentral's name for it is "partial 16S ribosomal RNA". It matches the Rfam family "Bacterial small subunit ribosomal RNA", at positions 354 to 796 of the family's 1533-position model. The record is from RNAcentral.
GUGGGGAAUUUUGGACAAUGGGCGCAAGCCUGAUCCAGCAAUGCCGCGUGCAGGAAGAAGGCCUUCGGGUUGUAAACUGCUUUUGUACGGAACGAAACGGUCCGGGUUAAUACCCUGGGCUAAUGACGGUACCGUAAGAAUAAGCACCGGCUAACUACGUGCCAGCAGCCGCGGUAAUACGUAGGGUGCAAGCGUUAAUCGGAAUUACUGGGCGUAAAGCGUGCGCAGGCGGUUUUGUAAGACAGGCGUGAAAUCCCCGGGCUCAACCUGGGAAUUGCGCUUGUGACUGCAAGGCUGGAGUGCGGCAGAGGGGGAUGGAAUUCCGCGUAUAGCAGUGAAAUGCGUAGAUAUGCGGAGGAACACCGAUGGCGAAGGCAAUCCCCUGGGCCUGCACUGACGCUCAUGCACGAAAGCGUGGGGAGCAAACAGGAUUAGAAACCCGAGUAGUCC